RNAcentral lists this ribosomal RNA (301 nucleotides) under uncultured bacterium. Its description in RNAcentral is "partial 16S ribosomal RNA". It matches the Rfam family "Bacterial small subunit ribosomal RNA", at positions 509 to 807 of the family's 1533-position model. The record is from RNAcentral.
CAGCCGCCACGGUAAUACGGAGGGCGCGAGCGUUACCCGGAUUUACUGGGCGUAAAGGGCGUGUAGGCGGCCUGGGGCGUCCCAUGUGAAAGGCCACGGCUCAACCGUGGAGGAGCGUGGGAUACGCUCAGGCUAGAGGGUGGGAGAGGGUGGUGGAAUUCCCGGAGUAGCGGUGAAAUGCGCAGAUACCGGGAGGAACGCCGAUGGCGAAGGCAGCCACCUGGUCCACUUCUGACGCUGAGGCGCGAAAGCGUGGGGAGCAAACCGGAUUAGAUACCCGUGUAGUCCCUGUCUCUUAUAC